Molecule: ribosomal RNA, 2231 nt
Filed under: gut metagenome
Description: bacterial LSU rRNA
Rfam family: Bacterial large subunit ribosomal RNA
Source: RNAcentral
AGAGCGCAGGGUGGAUGCCUUGGCACUAAGAGCCGAAGAAAGACGUGAUAAGCUGCGAAAAGCUGCGGGGAGAUGCAAAUAAUCCUUGAUCCGCAGAUGUCUGAAUGGGGAAACCCGGUACGAAGAACUCGUAUCAUCCAUACGCCAAUCCAUAACGUAUGGAGGGGAACCCGGUGAACUGAAACAUCUAAGUAGCCGGAGGAAGAGAAAGAAACAUCGAUUUUGUUAGUAGCGGCGAGCGAAAGCGAAAGAGGCCAAACCGGAGUGCGUGCACUCCGGGGUUCGGACCGCAUUUAAGAUUCAGUGAUUCUAGCAGAAAGGUUUGGGAAAGCCUGCCGGAGAGGGUGAAAGCCCCGUAAGCGAAAGGAGAGCUGACUGAGCGGAAUCCAGAGUACAUCGAGACACGAGAAACCUUGAUGGAAAGAGCGGGGACCACCCCGUAAGCCUAAAUACUACUUAGUGACCGAUAGCGCAUAGUACUGUGAAGGAAAGGUGAAAAGGACCCCGGGAGGGGAGUGAAAGAGAACCUGAAACCCUGUGUUUACAAGCUGUGGAAGUUCUUUAAAUGAACAACCGCGUACUUUUUGUAGAACGGUCCGGCGAGUUGCGGAUACUGGCAAGGUUAAGCACUUAAGGUGCGGAGCCGAAGGGAUACCAAGUCUUAACAGGGCGUUAAGUCAGUAUACGCAGACCCGAAACCGGGUGAUCUAUCCAUGUCCAGGUUGAAGUUGUCGUAAAAGACAAUGGAGGACCGAAGCCACAUCCGUUGAAAAGGGUGGGCAUGAGGUGUGGAUAGGGGAGAAAUUCCAAUCGAACCCGGAGAUAGCUGGUUCUCCUCGAAAUAGCUUUAGGGCUAGCCUCGAUUUAGUCUUAUGGAGGUAGAGCACUGAAUUUCCGCGGGGGCGUCAAAGCUUACCAAAGAAUAUCAAACUCCGAAUGCCAUGUAGAUGAUGAUCGGGAGUCAGACUGCACGAGAUAAGUUGGGCAGUCAAAAGGGAAAGAGCCCAGACCACCGGCUAAGGUCCCAAAGUGCGUGUUAAGUGGAAAAGGAUGUGGGAAUUCGAAGACAACUAGGAUGUUGGCUCAGAAGCAGCCAUACAUUCAAAGAGUGCGUAACAGCUCACUAGUCGAGAGUUCCUGCGCCGAAAAUGUCCGGGGCUGAAACACGACACCGAAGCCGUGGACUCGCAAUGCGAGUGGUAGAGGAGCAUUCUUAAAACCGACGAAGCUGUACCGAAAGGAGCAGUGGAGGGAUAAGAAGAGAGAAUGCCGGAAUGAGUAGCGAGAGAAAGGUGGGAAUCCUUUCGGCCGAAUAUCUAAGGUUUCCAGAGUAAAGCUGAUCUGCUCUGGGUAAGUCGGGGCCUAAGCACAGGUCGCAAGACGUAAGCGAUGGAUAACAGGUUUAGAUUCCUGUACCACGCAUUAUCAGAACUGUAGGGACGCAUGUGGAAAGCACGAGCCGGGAAUGGAAAGACCGGUACAAGCGAGGUAGGUGUACAAUAGGCAAAUCCGUUGUAUAAUCCGAAGACGUGAUGUGGAGCGAAAUAAAGUAGUGAAGCGUGUGAGCCAUGUGCCGAGAAAAGCUGCUAUUGUGUAAUGCGUGCCCGUACCGUAAACCGACACAGGUGGAUGAGGAGAGAAUCCUAAGGCCGGCGGAAGAAGCAUUGUUAAGGAAUUCGGCAAAAUGACCCCGUAACUUCGGGAGAAGGGGUGCCUGCGAGAGCAGGCCGCAGAGAAUAGGCUCAAGCAACUGUUUAGCAAAAACACAGGUCUAUGCGAAACCGAAAGGUGAAGUAUAUGGGCUGACGCCUGCCCGGUGCUGGAAGGUUAAGAGGAGAGGUUAGCGUAAGCGAAGCUUUGAAUUUAAGCCCCAGUAAACGGCGGCCGUAACUAUAACGGUCCUAAGGUAGCGAAAUUCCUUGUCGGGUAAGUUCCGACCCGCACGAAAGGCGUAAUGAUUUGAGCACUGUCUCGACAAUGCAUCCGGUGAAAUUGAAGUACCAGUGAAGAUGCUGGUUACCCGCGCCAGGACGGAAAGACCCCAUGGAGCUUUACUCCAGUUUGAUACUGGGAUUCGGUACUGCAUGUACAGGAUAGGUGGGAGACGAAGAAGGAUGGACGCCAGUCUGUCCGGAGUCGCUGUUGGGAUACCACCCCUGUAGUACUGGGUUUCUAACCAGUUGCCAUGAACUGGCAAUGGGACAAUGUCAGGCGGGGAGUUUGACUGGGGC